This 254-nucleotide ribosomal RNA is filed under the name uncultured bacterium. RNAcentral describes it as "partial 16S ribosomal RNA". It matches the Rfam family "Bacterial small subunit ribosomal RNA", at positions 524 to 776 of the family's 1533-position model. The record is from RNAcentral.
UACAGAGGGUGCAAGCGUUGUCCGGAAUUAUUGGGCGUAAAGAGCUCGUAGGCGGUGUGUCACGUCGGCCGUGAAAACCUGCAGCUUAACUGUGGGCGUGCGGUCGAUACGGGCAUCACUGGAGUUCGGCAGGGGAGACUGGAAUUCCUGGUGUAGCGGUGAAAUGCGCAGAUAUCAGGAGGAACACCGGUGGCGAAGGCGGGUCUCUGGGCCGAUACUGACGCUGAGGAGCGAAAGCGUGGGGAGCAAACAGG